Molecule: long non-coding RNA, 5384 nt
Organism: Canis lupus familiaris (dog)
Lineage: Eukaryota; Metazoa; Chordata; Mammalia; Carnivora; Canidae
Exons: 4
Source: RefSeq, a predicted model, not a curated record
UUUGAGCGUGUGGCACCCUUGCCCCUCCCUUAUUUUUAGAUGUUGCCCUUAAAAACCUAAAACAUGGUAAUGGUUUUUGCUUUUUUAAAAAAAACACAUAAGUGUCCUCAGACACCUGCGUGGCUCAGCUGGAUAAACAUCUGUCUUCAGCUCAGGUCAUGAUCUCAGGACCCUGGGACGGAGCCCCACGUUGGGCUCGCUGCUCAGUGGGGAGCCUGCUUCUCCCUCUCCCUCUGCCCCUCCUCUCCAUCAGCUCAUGCACUGUGAUGUGCCCUGAAUAUAGCUCUGGGUUACCAGUUUACUGCCUACGAUUAGCUGGAGCUGGGAGGAGAAAGGUCUUGACAAGGAGUGUUGUGUUCAGCCCCCAAGAUGGGCCCCUUGAUCACUGCCUUGUUUAUGCCUCUGUAUAGUUUCCUUCCAGCUGUCUCAAGGCUGGUCCGUGUGGCCAGAGAAUAUGGUACAAGUGAUGGUACAUUGCUUUUGAAGUGAGCUUAUUAAAACCAUUGGGGACUCUCUCUCUCUCCCCCAUAACUUGCUCUGAGGGAAGUAAGAACACUCAGAUAUGAGGCCUUCUGCCAAAAGCCACAUCCUGUGAGUGAUCCGUGUUAGCAGCAGAUCUCCUGGGGCAGUCAAGCCUCCAGCUGACGGCAGUGCUGACCGACUGUGUGGCUGCAGCCUCUCAAGGGGCUGUGGGUCAGGAUGACUCUUUAAGCCACUUUCAGAUUUUGGCCUCAGAAACCGUGGGAGAUGAUAAAUGUUAUCGUAAGCCCCUGGAUUUGGGGGUAAUUUGUUAUGCGGCAGUAGAUAGCUAGUACAGAAAAUGAGACCCAUUCAUUCACUUUAUCGCUUAACACAUUACUUUUGAGCCGCUACUAUGGGUCAAGAACUACCCUGAGCACUGGAAAUGCAGCAGGUGAACAAAGUAGACAAAGUCUUUACUCUCAUAGAGCUUUCACUCUGGUCAGGGGAGAGAGAUAAUGAAGGGGAAAAAAUAGAUAUGCCAGAAGGUGAUAAAUGCUAUGGAGAAAAAGCAGUGUAAGGAUGGGAUGAAGGGCAUAUAAAGGCAUGAUAUUGAUAUUUUAUACAGGUUGGUCAAAGGAGGCCUCUAAUCAAGUGCUAUUUGAGUGGAGACCUGAAUGAGAUGAGAAAACAGAUAUACAGGGAAGAGCAUACAGGGCAAAGGGAACAGUGGGUAGGGUGGCUCAGCACCCACUCCCUUCAUACCAUUCCUUUGCUCAUCCUCAGGACAGGCUACUUCACAUCUGGCCAAAAGUGCUAAAUCAGCCUCCCAAAUACCUCUAGCUUAUGCUUUACCCUACCUACUAUGGUCUCUUCUCAACAAAACUCCCAAAGUGAUCAUACUAAACCCUAAAUGAGACCAAGUCAGUGCUCCACGUAAACUCCAUAAGGAUUCCUUAUUUCAUUCAGAAUAAAAACCAAAAUCUUCAUCAGGCUUACAAGACCCUACACGAUCUGGUCCCUCACUGACAUUUCAGCCAAGUCAGUGCUCCACGUAAACUCCAUAAGGAUUCCUUAUUUCAUUCAGAAUAAAAACCAAAAUCUUCAUCAGGCUUACAAGACCCUACACGAUCUGGUCCCUCACUGACAUUUCAGCCCCUCCCCACCUAGUCCCUCCCUCCCUCACUCAAUCUCUCAGGUAUUCCAUCCCAGCCACAGUGGCCUCCUUGCUGUCCCUACAAAUUGCCGGCAAAUUCCUGCCUUAGGGCCUUUGCUCUGGUGUCCUUUCACCUGGAAUAUUCUUCUCUUCCUCACUUCCUUUAGCCUUUGCUCAGAUCCUAUCAUGUCAAUGAAGUUCACCUUAAUCAUGUUGUUUAAUUCUGCAACCUGUUCUCCUCCCCACCUACAGACCCAUAGCCCCUAAAUCUGAUCUUCUUUCUUUUUUCUCCAUAGCACUUAACCCUUUGAAUAUUAAGGAUUUAUAUUUUUAGUUUACUAUGUAUUUCUGUCCACUAGAAUGUAAGUGCAAAAGGAUAGGAAUGCCCUUCUUUUGACCCCCUGUGGCUUUCCAGGUACCUGCAUUACUAAAUUGCUUAAUAAAUGGGUGAGAGUUCCUCUUUUUCGGAUGACUGAUUUGUGACUUCUCCUCUCGGGGCCUGUUUCUUCUCGAUAAAAGGAUGAGAUUGGUCCCUUCUAGGCUGUUCUGGGCUGCAUGGCAUCUCACAAAAUCCACCUGGACUGUGGACAAAAGACAUGGACAAUAAGAGCUUACUCCCAGGCGUCUGCCAUUCAAAAUGCACUUGAGGGGGCACCUGGAUGGCUCAAUCCGUUGGGUGUCUGCCUUUGGCCCAGGUCAUGAUCCCAGGGUCCCGGGAUCGAGUCCCGCAUCAGGCUCCCUGCUCAGUGGGGAGUCUGCUUCUCUCUCUGCCCUUCCCUCCUGCUUGUGAUCUCUCUCUCUCAAAUAAAUAAAUAAAAUCUUUAAAAAAAUGCACUUGAGGACAAAAAAAAUUUUUCCCCUGCAGUAAGUCACCAACCUGGUCCUUUACCAUACUCUUCUCUCACGCUCAUCUUUGCAAAGCUUCAGGAACAGAUAUCCAGACAAGUAAAGGAGCCCAUGGUUCAUUAAGAAGAGACUCUGAAGGGGAUGCAUACAGUAUGAUGCUAUGAUGCUAUGAUGCCCCUUUGGAAAUUAAAACACAGAAAGCCAUAUGACAUAUUUCUGUUGGCCUCACAUCUGUAUAGAAAAGUGCAAUACACAUGGGAGUCAGGUACCAACUCCGUUAGAGUGGUUUCCUCGCAGGAGCACAUACAGCUCUUAGGAACAGACAUAGCUGUGGUGCUGUAUUUCUGAGAGAGAGAAAGAGAAUUCUGAGGCAAAUGUCUCAAAAUAUCAACACUGGUUAAAUCUGGCUAUUGUUUCUCGUGUGUUCUCUAUUUGAUAUAAUUCAGCCUCUAGAGAAAAUGAUUUUGAAACAGCUGCAAUGGGAAAGUUGCCCUAGCACUUCUCCGAUGCUGUUGCAGGCCCAGGGCUCCACAGGGUGGAAGCUGGGCACUCGCAGUUCCCGGUGUGAAACCCAGUGAUCCAGCUCCUCAGGAAACAAAGGUGAAGGGCUGAGCCCUGGUGGCCAGUGGCCCCUCCUGUGCAUCCCUGAUCAGCCCCCUGCCGCGGGGAGAUGAGCACAUUAAGCUCAAUGAUUUCUGUGUUGCGAAUUCUUCAGAGAUGAGGAAAAAGGUCAACUGAGGAAUGAAAAUGUGUGCAAGAAUUGGCAGUGUAUAUCACAUAUUACUAAUGAAUGGAAUGUAAAAUGCAUUUCAACAAAGGUGUUAAGGAUUCAAAGUCGAAAUAUGAUUUGAGAGAUAGUAUGGUGAGAGAGAUGCAGACAAAGAUAACCAUGCAAAUGAGAAACCACACUGGAAGCACAUACUUUUGGCAGGGCAACAUCAAGGGAGAAGAUUCUCCAGGAAGCUACAAAUCCAAUGACAGGAAUUGUCUUCUUUUGGCAGAAAUGGUACAAAAUUCAGUAAGUAACCCAUAGUCAACUGUGAUCUGGAAGCAAAUGAUGCUUCCAACUCAUCACCAGGUCAACAGUAGCCCAACUCUGUGUCAACACCUAUGUCAUUCUCUUCACUUCAUCUCAUCACGAGGCAUUUUAUCAUCUCACAUCAUGACAAGAAGGAUUUUUUCCUAGGUCACAAAUGAAAGUUCUUCAAAAAGCACCCUUGCUAAUGGCUCCCUCCUGUUCCAACAAGAGAUGAGGCACCACAGGCUGCUUCACUAUUCUGGGACAGUUGUUCACUUUAGCCAGAUUUCAUUUGUAUGAAAACGCUGGAAAGGCAGCUGUGGGGACAGGUCAGUGUGUUGUGCUUGGGGGCUUGCACCCCUAGGCCUGGCCUGUCUCUAGGCUUGACUCCGUCUGCACCAACAGAAGCUCAAAGAGGUAGAAGACCUGGCCCGGGGGACUUUUUUUUUUUUUUUUUUUUCACACCUCGAUGGGAAGGAGUUGGCGGUAAAGGGUUACAGGAUUAGACAGCUAAGCUGAAGGGCCGCACCUGGAGGCAGUCCUGCACGCUGAAUUUACAACAGGAGCCUGGGAGUCGUAUAAAUGAGUAAUGCUUCAUGAUGCUGUUUUCCAAGCGAGCUGCAAAAAUUGGCAGGGGCCCUUCAGUGUGCUGUCGAUGUGUCUGGAAUUCAAAUAAUUUGAUUCUGAGAUACAAUGACAAUGGGGAAGCAAGGCAUUACCUUGACAGAAUGAUGGCCGAGACAGCUGCUGCAACCCAUAUUCAUGGAAGAUGGUGCACUAACAACCGCUCUCUAUCGGCCGUCCUCCCUGAAAUCUCCAUCCUGCAUCGUCGCGGUUGCCCUUACUCAAGGGCAUUAAAUUAAAAAGUCGUGUAGCCGAUAAUUCUUUUUUUUCCCUCCCUCCCCCCUUUUCCCUAGUCCAGGCACUGAAGGAUGGGGAAAGUGAAAUAAAAGCCUUGACUGAAACGGAUGUCUCUUUCAAAAAAAAUGAUGCUGACAUUAGACACAGCUCCGAGGAGCGCAUUUGAAUAUCGGUGCAGGGCAGCGCACAGCAGAACUUGCUGCUGCCUCUUUUGAAUUUGUCUUUGUUGGCUGAACACGUUAAUAUCUUUCCAAGGUAUAAUAGCUGGGAGGAUUCCGUCAGAAAUAACAGGAGAUCUGGUGAGCUGGGGCCUGUUACCUUCCAAAUCACAAGGCAUCUUGCUUGUGCCGGUUGUCAUUUCUGUUGGGGGAACUGAUACGCAGGUUCCGACUUUAUCUGCCCCAAUAUAGUGCUCACACCACCUCUUGUGUGUAGCGUGUUUGGCUUUUCUGAAGCACUUUUUAAAAAAGCCUUUUUACCCAGGGCAGAGCAUUCUGGAAAACUCCAGACCCCAGACAGGGGCUGUGAGCUGCUGGUCGAGAUUUUAGAUUUGCCAUUGUGGGUUUCUUUCUCUGGAUUUCCUUUUCUCCAUUUGGAAAAGGAAAGUGUUUGUCUUUCCCUCCAGGUCCCCGGUUCCCUGAUCCUAUGAUCUCAUUGGACCACUUACUACUAAUAGGAGGAUGGGCAGUUCCCAGGUAUCUUCACUCCAGAUUUCCUACAAAGAUCAUACUCCUUUAAGAUGAAUUUGACAAGUGUAUCAUUCUAUUAAUCUAAUGAUUAGUUCUCAGAAUGUGAAUAUGUAAAUAAUAAUUGCAGCCAUUUAUGUAGCAUUUACUAUGUGACAGGUUAACUGUUCUAAUGCAUUAUUUAUUUUCACAACAACCUUGUGAUGGAUGUAGGUGAGAAGUGUUGUUCCAAUUUUGAAAUUGUAAGAAAUAAUUUAAAAUAUAUCUUGUUUCUUUUUUAAAAAUAAUUUUAUUUACUGAGAGAUAGAGAGCAUAGCGGGGGGUAGAGGUGGAAAGGGAAAGGGAGAGAGAAUCCCAA